UACGUAGGGGGCAAGCGUUGUCCGGAUUUAUUGGGCGUAAAGAGCGUGUAGGCGGCCUGAAAGGUCAGCUGUGAAAACUCGAGGCUCAACCUCGAGACGUCGGUUGAAACCAUCUGGCUAGAGUCCGGAAGAGGAGUGUGGAAUUCCCGGUGUAGCGGUGAAAUGCGCAGAUAUCGGGAAGAACACCCGUGGCGAAGGCGGCACUCUGGGACGGUACUGACGCUGAGACGCGAAGGCGUGGGGAGCGAACAGG
RNAcentral lists this ribosomal RNA (253 nucleotides) under uncultured bacterium. RNAcentral's name for it is "partial 16S ribosomal RNA". It matches the Rfam family "Bacterial small subunit ribosomal RNA", at positions 524 to 776 of the family's 1533-position model. The record is from RNAcentral.